CCUAGGGUGGCAGCAGUGGGGAAUAUUGGACAAUGGGCGAAAGCCUGAUCCAGCCAUGCCGCGUGUGUGAAGAAGGCCUUCGGGUUGUAAAGCACUUUCAGUGGGGAAGAAAGCCUUGGGGCUAAUACCCUCGAGGAAGGACAUCACCCACAGAAGAAGCACCGGCUAACUCCGUGCCAGCAGCCGCGGUAAUACGGAGGGUGCGAGCGUUAAUCGGAAUUACUGGGCGUAAAGCGCGCGUAGGCGGUCUGAUAAGCCGGUUGUGAAAGCCCCGGGCUCAACCUGGGAACGGCAUCCGGAACUGUCAGGCUAGAGUGCAGGAGAGGAAGGUAGAAUUCCCGGUGUAGCAGUGAAAUGCGUAGAGAUCGGGAGGAAUACCAGUGGCGAAGGCGGCCUUCUGGACUGACACUGACGCUGAGGUGCGAAAGCGUGGGUAGCAAACAGGAUUAGAUACCCUGGUAGUC
This 464-nucleotide ribosomal RNA is filed under the name Vreelandella stevensii. Its description in RNAcentral is "partial 16S ribosomal RNA". It matches the Rfam family "Bacterial small subunit ribosomal RNA", at positions 338 to 795 of the family's 1533-position model. Lineage: Bacteria; Pseudomonadati; Pseudomonadota; Gammaproteobacteria; Oceanospirillales; Halomonadaceae. The record is from RNAcentral.